Small nuclear RNA from Rhinopithecus roxellana (golden snub-nosed monkey), 170 nucleotides. RefSeq annotates it as U1 spliceosomal RNA. The transcript has a single exon. Lineage: Eukaryota; Metazoa; Chordata; Mammalia; Primates; Cercopithecidae. The record is from RefSeq and is a predicted model, not a curated record.
AUACUUACAGAGCAGGAAAAGCACCUUGACUUACGAUAGGUGGUUUUUCUUAGAGCGAGGUUUAAUUCAUUGCACUUUGGACAUGCUGAUCCUUGCCGUUUCCCCGAAUGCGGGAAACUUCGUUCGCAUAUACUGAUGGUAGUGGGGGACUGCGUUCGCGUUUUUCCCCU